GCUGGAAUCGCUAGUAAUCGCAGGUCAGCAUACUGCGGUGAAUACGUUCCCGGGUCUUGUACACACCGCCCGUCACACCAUGGGAGCCGGAAAUGCCCGAAGCCAGUGACCCAACCUUAGGGAGGGAGCUGUCGAAGGUGGAGCCGGUAACUGGGGUGAAGUCGUAACAAGGUACC
Molecule: ribosomal RNA, 176 nt
Filed under: uncultured bacterium
Lineage: Bacteria
Description: partial 16S ribosomal RNA
Rfam family: Bacterial small subunit ribosomal RNA
Source: RNAcentral